ACGACGGGUCUCCGUAGGGUGAACCUGCGGAGGGAUCAUUACACAAAUAUGAAGGCGGGCUGGAACCUCUCGGGGUUACAGCCUUGCUGAAUUAUUCACCCUUGUCUUUUGCGUACUUCUUGUUUCCUUGGUGGGUUCGCCCACCACUAGGACAAACAUAAACCUUUUGUAAUUGCAAUCAGCGUCAGUAACAAAUUAAUAAUUACAACUUUCAACAACGGAUCUCUUGGUUCUGGCAUCGAUGAAGAACGCAGCGAAAUGCGAUAAGUAGUGUGAAUUGCAGAAUUCAGUGAAUCAUCGAAUCUUUGAACGCACAUUGCGCCCUUUGGUAUUCCAAAGGGCAUGCCUGUUCGAGCGUCAUUUGUACCCUCAAGCUUUGCUUGGUGUUGGGCGUCUUGUCUCUAGCUUUGCUGGAGACUCGCCUUAAAGUAAUUGGCAGCCGGCCUACUGGUUUCGGAGCGCAGCACAAGUCGCACUCUCUAUCAGCAAAGGUCUAGCAUCCAUUAAGCCUUUUUUUCAACUUUUGACCUCGGAUCAGGUAGGGAUACCCGCUGAACUUAAGCAUAUCAAA
RNAcentral lists this ribosomal RNA (571 nucleotides) under Alternaria alternata. Its description in RNAcentral is "eukaryotic LSU rRNA". The stretch from base 207 to 360 matches the Rfam family "5.8S ribosomal RNA". The record is from RNAcentral. Lineage: Eukaryota; Fungi; Ascomycota; Dothideomycetes; Pleosporales; Pleosporaceae.